RNAcentral lists this long non-coding RNA (1145 nucleotides) under Medicago truncatula (barrel medic). RNAcentral describes it as "long non-coding RNA (MTRU_LNC003103)". The record is from RNAcentral. Lineage: Eukaryota; Viridiplantae; Streptophyta; Magnoliopsida; Fabales; Fabaceae.
UCCUGUUCAAAAUACAAAAACAGUAAGAAAAUCAUAUAACAUAUUUUGGCAUGUGUUGCAUUUUCCGAGAACACAUUGUAUGUAGAAUAAAACAGACCAAUAUAACAUAGGUGCCGUUUAGUCUGAACCAGUCUAAGUAUUGGUCCAUAAUGGAUCAAAAUUUAUAGCCAUUGGAUUAAUUAAUUUGUAAGCAAAAUAAUACAAUACACCCUAUACAUAAAAUUAUUUCCUUUAAAGUUUUCGCUUGCCUUCUCUCUCUUUCUGUAAUUCUUCAAUCGUAAAUCAUUUUCACUGGAAACCCCAUUAUCCACAACAAUACUCACCAACAUCAUUCCACUUUCAAAUCAAUAAAAAAUUUCUUCUCUUUUCUUCAUAAUAAGUUAUAAACAUCAAUUAAGUUUUCUCUUGUUCUCUUUUACUUGUAAACCUAUAAACAUCUUAAGAAAAAUCUGGUUAGCUUUUAAAUUCUGGAAUUGAAAAACCUAUAAACAUCUUUUAAAGAAUCUGACUGCAUUUAAAUUCUUGAAUCAAUGUCAUUUAUUUCUGUGUUCUUGUUUUUUUUCUUCUGGAAAACUUGAAGAUUCUAAAAAGAAUCUAUCAAAAUCAAAGGGACAACAAAAUCCAACAAAUGGUUCCGAUCUAGCUUUCAACAAUUUUACCAGUUUACAUGAUGUUAGUUUAUUCCAGAAAUUAAAGUUUAAAUUCAAUUUAAAGAUCUAUAUAAAGUAUGUAUUAUAAUACCAAAAUUAUUCAUAACAAUGAGUUGCAUUGGAUUGAACUUUGGUUAACCAUAAAUGAGUAACCAUUGGAUUUAGAGGGAGAGAUGAGAAGAAAGAUUGCAGUUUUAUUUUUGCAUAGUUAGAAUAGAGAGGAUGCAGUGAGAAAGAUAAAGUUGGGGUUGGUUUUGGUAAGAGUGGACCAUGAUAAGAUCUUGUAGAUAACAUAAUCAAAUGGUGGAAAAAAAUUGAUCCAUGAUGAAAUAAUUUUCUUACGGGUCCAUUUUAUACUGAACCUAUAACAUAAUUUCAAAACAUAAAGAUGAAUUUCUAGCCACUAGGCUACUCUGACCAAAAAUAACAUAAUUUCAAAACAAAAUCAACGAACAAACUAAACAAAACUGUAAACAAAUUUGGUCACAAACGACA